GUGAGAGUAGCUGAGAGGUUUAGCACUAGUUUGUGGUACUAUACUACGUGGGUUCGAGUCCCACCUUUUGCC
Molecule: transfer RNA, 72 nt
Filed under: Mychonastes homosphaera
Lineage: Eukaryota; Viridiplantae; Chlorophyta; Chlorophyceae; Sphaeropleales; Mychonastaceae
Description: tRNA-His
Rfam family: tRNA
About the family: Transfer RNA (tRNA) molecules are approximately 80 nucleotides in length.
Source: RNAcentral